UUUUAUUAAUUUUUAUUUAAUAUUAAAAAAUUUUGAUUUUUUUAUUCUAAUUAGUUUUAGUAAGUAAUGU
RNAcentral lists this transfer RNA (70 nucleotides) under Parasaissetia nigra. RNAcentral describes it as "tRNA-Gln". The record is from RNAcentral. Lineage: Eukaryota; Metazoa; Arthropoda; Insecta; Hemiptera; Coccidae.